This 735-nucleotide long non-coding RNA is filed under the name Triticum aestivum (bread wheat). RNAcentral describes it as "long non-coding RNA (TAES_LNC028506)". The record is from RNAcentral. Lineage: Eukaryota; Viridiplantae; Streptophyta; Magnoliopsida; Poales; Poaceae.
UUAUUUCUUUGAUGACUCGAGCCCAUUCAGCAAAUCUGACUCACCUAUAUUGCCCUGAUUUCGCGUAACUACCAGUUGUCGUUGGACCAUGAUGAAGUCCGCAUAGGUCGAUGGCUUAUUUGGCCUUGACGAACGAUUGACCUGUAAAACCAGUAGAAAGAAUAGCAUCAGGGACAAUAGCAUGAGCAUCGAAACAAAUAGAGCAUCAUCAUUGAUUUCUCCUCGUUAUCUCUCGCUCAGCAGUUGCAUCAAGCGGCGGCAGCAGCCAAAUCUGAAACCACACUCUGCUCCCACACCUCACACGACACAAGCGCAGCAUCUAACACAAGCGGUAGCAGCAGCAACCAAGUCACCAAAUCUCACUCACCGAAUUCUCAUUCGAGCACCAACACCCACAGAUCGCCCCCCUUGUUUCUUUGUGCAGUCCAACCCAUUAGCAGCUGUCAGACACCUGCAUUUUUAUCAAAUUGAUUCCAUACAAGCAUCAGACCUCUCUCUGUCUCUCCCCAAACGCAAAGUAGCUAGGUCGAUGGCUCAUUUGGCUGUGAUGUGAUGGAGAAUCUGUAAAAACCAGUACAAAUAAGAGCAUCAGGGACAAGAGCUAUCGGCAUUGAAACAAGUAGAGCAGGAGCGGCCAAAUCUGAAACCACAUACUCUGCUCUCUCACACGUCACAGAGCACAAGCGCAGCAUGUAACACGGGCGGGCCGCCGUGCUUGCAGCCUCGCCCUCUCCC